GGCGCGCCCUCUUCCAUGCAAAUCGGGAAGCCUUGUCACGGAAGGUUUUCACUUCAAUCUGUAUUUUCUUAAAUAUCGCGCAUUUUCCCAUUAUUCUCCGGCGAUUUCCUUAAUUUGUUAACGUGACAUCAUUUGGGAGUGUUUACAGUAAAAUUUGGUAUUGGGAAGGACUUUUAAAGGAGUGAAAAGGCGUGACUAUAAAUAGACUAUUGGUCGAUGUACUUGUAGGGAAAUCUAGUGAGCAUCCCAUUCAUAAAACACAUUCAUUUGGUGCUGGGCAGUGAAGGUGCAUAGAUCGGGAAGAAAUUUUUCAGUGAAUGAAUAUUGUAAAAUUAUCUGUGAACGUUUUUUGGUACACGCGUUCGGCGAGUUACGGAUUUUCUCCAUCUUUGUAGCUGAGCAAAUCAAGUGGAAAAAUGGCGGCGGAAGGAGGAUUGGCGCCCACCAGCGAUGACAUGCCGGUGGGAGGGCCCAAAACACCACAACAAAUCGCAGCGCAGCGUCGCUUACAGCAGACGCAAGCGCAAGUGGAUGAAGUUGUCGACAUAAUGAAAACAAACGUGGAGAAGGUAUUGGAGAGAGAUCAAAAGCUCUCAGAACUCGACGAUAGGGCAGAUGCGUUACAGCAAGGUGCGUCGCAAUUUGAACAGCAAGCCGGAAAACUUAAAAGCAAAUUCUGGUUGCAAAACCUAAAGAUGAUGAUAAUUGCAGCUGUCAUUGGAAUCAUCAUUUUGGCUUUAAUCAUUGCCAACUUUGUGUGAACAAGUUUCGGUAACCGAAGUUUAAUUUAGAAGUUACUUGUUAUAAUAUAAUAAUUAAUAGUGAUAUAAAGUAUGUUGUUAUUUCGUUAUUACUAUUUGAUAAUAAUCUCUUUGGUCUGUAAACAUCAUUAUGGAGGAUUGAAGCCGAGGUACCUAUUCCAUCAGCAACCCCAUUCUGGCACAGCAACAUGUAAAAAAUAAUAUACGACUAUCUAUCGUUUUUGUAGAAAUUAGUUUUGUUGAGCGUUAUUUAAAUUAUUCGAAAAGUUUCAGACUUUGAAGUCUGUGAAUUCUAUUUCAUUAUCGAUUUACCUAUAUAUUUAUAGAUGUUUUAAAAUUUUAACGUCACUCGUCCUAUAAUAUAAUACGACUCCUUUAGUCACUGUCAGCUGAACUACGACAAACAAAAUAAUUAGAGUAUUUUUAGAAGAUCUUUCUUUGUUAAAAUAUUUACCUUAAAAAAUUCGUAACAACAUAAAAUUGCUAUUUGCUAUACAUAUUAUAGAUACCUAAGGCUUAUCGAAAAUAUACCAUAUCUUGUAAUUUUAAAUUGUGUUCAAAAUGAGACGGAU
This is an RNA transcript of Maniola jurtina (meadow brown), 1333 nucleotides long. It is a transcript of the gene named vesicle-associated membrane protein 2-like, with no coding region annotated. The transcript has 8 exons. NCBI's taxonomy places the organism in Eukaryota, Metazoa, Arthropoda, Insecta, Lepidoptera, Nymphalidae. The record is from RefSeq and is a predicted model, not a curated record.